GACGAACGCUGGCGGCGUGCUUAACACAUGCAAGUCGAACGCUGAAGACCUGGCUUUUGUUGGGUUGGAUGAGUGGCGAACGGGUGAGUAACACGUGAGUAACCUGCCCUCUUCUUUGGGAUAACGCCCGGAAACGGGUGCUAAUACUGGAUAUUCACUGGCCUUCGCAUGGGGGUUGGUGGAAAGGUUUGUUCUGGUGGGGGAUGGGCUCGCGGCCUAUCAGCUUGUUGGUGGGGUGAUGGCCUACCAAGGCUUUGACGGGUAGCCGGCCUGAGAGGGUGACCGGUCACAUUGGGACUGAGAUACGGCCCAGACUCCUACGGGAGGCAGCAGUGGGGAAUAUUGCACAAUGGGCGAAAGCCUGAUGCAGCGACGCCGCGUGAGGGAUGGAGGCCUUCGGGUUGUAAACCUCUUUCGCUCAUGGUCAAGCCGCAACUGUGGGUUGUGGUGAGGGUAGUGGGUAAAGAAGCGCCGGCUAACUACGCG
Molecule: ribosomal RNA, 486 nt
Filed under: uncultured bacterium
Lineage: Bacteria
Description: partial 16S ribosomal RNA
Rfam family: Bacterial small subunit ribosomal RNA
Source: RNAcentral